This 327-nucleotide ribosomal RNA is filed under the name uncultured eukaryote. RNAcentral describes it as "partial 18S ribosomal RNA". It matches the Rfam family "Eukaryotic small subunit ribosomal RNA", at positions 1470 to 1796 of the family's 1831-position model. The record is from RNAcentral.
CCCUUAGAUGUUCUAGGCUGCACGCGCGCUACACUGAUGCGUUCAACGAGUUUAUAACCUUGCCCGAUAGGGUUGGGUAAUCUUUUGAAAACGCAUCGUGAUGGGGAUAGAUUAUUGUAAUUAUUAAUCUUCAACGAGGAAUUCCUAGUAAGCGCGAGUCAUCAGCUCGUGCUGAUUACGUCCCUGCCCUUUGUACACACCGCCCGUCGCUCCUACCAAUUGAGUGAUCCGGUGAAUAAUUCGGACUGCUGCAAUGCUUGGAUCCCGAGAAUUGCGGCGGAAAAGUUUAGUGAACCUUAUCACUUAGAGGAAGGAGAAGUCGUAACA